GAUGAACGCUAGCUACAGGCUUAACACAUGCAAGUCGAGGGGAAACGGCAUUAAGUGCUUGCACUUUUUGGACGUCGACCGGCGCACGGGUGAGUAACGCGUAUCCAACCUUCCCAUGACUAAGGGAUAACCUGCCGAAAGGCAGACUAAUACCUUAUGGUCUUCACUGACGGCAUCAGAUGUGAAGUAAAGAUUUAUCGGUUAUGGAUGGGGAUGCGUCUGAUUAGCUUGUUGGCGGGGUAACGGCCCACCAAGGCAACGAUCAGUAGGGGUUCUGAGAGGAAGGUCCCCCACAUUGGAACUGAGACACGGUCCAAACUCCUACGGGAGGCAGCAGUGAGGAAUAUUGGUCAAUGGGCGAGAGCCUGAACCAGCCAAGUAGCGUGCAGGAUGACGGCCCUAUGGGUUGUAAACUGCUUUUGUAUGGGGAUAAAGUCAGUCACGUGUGAUUGUUUGCAGGUACCAUACGAAUAAGGACCGGCUAAUUCCGUGCCAGCAGCCGCGGUAAUACGGAAGGUCCGGGCGUUAUCCGGAUUUAUUGGGUUUAAAGGGAGCGUAGGCUGGAGAUUAAGUGUGUUGUGAAAUGUAGACGCUCAACGUCUGACUUGCAGCGCAUACUGGUUUCCUUGAGUACGCACAACGUUGGCGGAAUUCGUCGUGUAGCGGUGAAAUGCUUAGAUAUGACGAAGAACUCCGAUUGCGAAGGCAGCUGACGGGGGCGCAACUGACGCUGAAGCUCGAAGGUGCGGGUAUCGAACAGG
This 761-nucleotide ribosomal RNA is filed under the name Prevotella melaninogenica. RNAcentral's name for it is "bacterial SSU rRNA". It matches the Rfam family "Bacterial small subunit ribosomal RNA", at positions 28 to 776 of the family's 1533-position model. The record is from RNAcentral. Lineage: Bacteria; Pseudomonadati; Bacteroidota; Bacteroidia; Bacteroidales; Prevotellaceae.